GGGUGCUUAGCUCAGCUGGCAGAGCAUCGCCCUUACAAGGCGAGGGUCACAGGUUCGAUCCCUGUAGCACCCACCA
This 76-nucleotide transfer RNA is filed under the name Legionellaceae bacterium. RNAcentral's name for it is "tRNA-Val". It matches the Rfam family "tRNA". Rfam says of the family: Transfer RNA (tRNA) molecules are approximately 80 nucleotides in length. Their secondary structure includes four short double-helical elements and three loops (D, anti-codon, and T loops). The record is from RNAcentral. Lineage: Bacteria; Pseudomonadati; Pseudomonadota; Gammaproteobacteria; Legionellales; Legionellaceae.